Long non-coding RNA from Sabethes cyaneus, 1436 nucleotides. RefSeq lists it as uncharacterized. Lineage: Eukaryota; Metazoa; Arthropoda; Insecta; Diptera; Culicidae. The record is from RefSeq and is a predicted model, not a curated record. The transcript has 2 exons.
UAAAACAGCUUUAAAUAUAACCAAAAAACCAGUUUUUUUAUAUUUUGCACUUGGGCCCUAUUGAAAUGUUGCUCUUGAAAUCAUCAUCGGGGAUGCAAAGGCGCAGAUCAGAAGCGAAGCACGAUAUGUUUCAGAUCGCGUGGCAACUGAAUAAAUACACCAGAAAGCGUGAUUAAUUGGGUAUUUUAGUGGUAUAUACAUUUCCACAUAUUCUGACAAGAUAUCAAGAGCAACAUUUCAAUAGGACCCAAGUGCAAAAUAUAAAAAAACUGGUUUUUUGGUUAUAUUUAAAGCUUUUUUAAGUAUCUAUAGUAAAUACAAAACAUCAUAGUGAUUUAAAAACUAUAUAGGUCUUAAAAAGCAAAUUUGAAAAAGCCUUAUGUGAAAACUGGCAACAAAGUUUUCAUUUUGUGCUUCGGCCCUUCUGUAUGAAAAAGCCUAUACGUAGUUUGUGUUUUGUUUUGCUUUCGGCCCUAUUUUUGUUGUGAGAUUUCUACGCAUCGCAAGUGGCAAGUAGCAAGUAAUCACUGGCCAUCUCCGGUUUAGUACGUUUCAAACAACCAGUUCUGCAGUUGCUGCCACGAAGAUGAUCCCUUCCGUACAAUUGCGAGAAAGACCCAUAUUCGAACGGGCAAUAAAAACAAUACGUUGUUUAAAUACUUUUCACCUGCAUAAAUAACACGGCCAUUCACAAAGACGACACGUUUUGGUACUUAAGCCUGCACGGCAACAAACAUUUACGCUACUUUCCGGCCUUUCCGGCUCACACAAAAAAAAGCUAUUUCGCUUGAUAUAUGUAUCACCUGUGGAGGGACCGACCGGAGUAAGUUCAUUAGUUGCGCGACCAACAUUUACUAUCGCUGAACUGCCAAGGCGGGAUGCACUUGAACGCGGUGAGUUAGAAAUGCAAAUGAAUGAACCGCUGCAUUGCUUUAAACUACCAUAGCGACUGUCGCUGAGUAUGAAACGGAAGCGGUAACUGAAGGCUUAUUCUGCAAAAUAGUUUUCACGUAUACAGAAAAAUAUCCACACACUAUCACCUUUGCUAGAAAUUAAAGAUCCAGAAAAUUUUCGAGAUGAUUAUAAAGAGGACACAUCAAACAGCGGUGGAUGUCGUUCAUGACGUGGAAUCUUAAUUUGAGCUAGAAGAUUGCUGCUAAUAGUCGCAAACUAACUGGAAAGGAAAUUGUUAUUGUAUGAUAAUACGCUGACCGGGUCGGAUUUUAAGUUCCUGAUAGACCCGGUGAACUGAUUAAAAAUGUACGGAUAGAUGAUUCGCUUUUGCAGCAUAUUGAGGCUCUGGAAAAUCCGAUCGAAUGACGGCGAUGAAAAAUAUGUGUCGAAAGCUUUUGAUUGGCGUUGAUGAAAGAACAAUGAUUUAGAAAAUUGUCAAUUUCUCAAUAAGAAUGCCAAAAUAAACAUUUUUUCUUGAAGAA